AUUGAACGCUGGCGGAAUGCUUUACACAUGCAAGUCGAACGGCAACACGGACUUCGGUCUGGUGGCGAGUGGCGAACGGGUGAGUAAUGUAUCGGAACGUGCCCAGUCGUGGGGGAUAACGUAGUGAAAAUUACGCUAAUACCGCAUACGAUCUAUGGAUGAAAGCGGGGGAUCGCAAGACCUCGCGCGAUUGGAGCGGCCGAUAUCAGAUUAGGUAGUUGGUGGGGUAAAGGCCCACCAAGCCAACGAUCUGUAGCUGGUCUGAGAGGACGACCAGCCACACUGGAACUGAGACACGGUCCAGACUCCUACGGGAGGCAGCAGUGGGGAAUUUUGGACAAUGGGCGAAAGCCUGAUCCAGCCAUUCCGCGUGCAGGAUGAAGGCCCUCGGGUUGUAAACUGCUUUUGUACAGAACGAAAAGGUUUCUACUAAUACUAGGAGCUCAUGACGGUACUGUAAGAAUAAGCACCGGCUAACCACGUGCCAGCAGCCGCAGUAA
Molecule: ribosomal RNA, 500 nt
Filed under: uncultured bacterium
Lineage: Bacteria
Description: partial 16S ribosomal RNA
Rfam family: Bacterial small subunit ribosomal RNA
Source: RNAcentral